RNAcentral lists this transfer RNA (76 nucleotides) under Alphaproteobacteria bacterium. Its description in RNAcentral is "tRNA-Ala". It matches the Rfam family "tRNA". Rfam says of the family: Transfer RNA (tRNA) molecules are approximately 80 nucleotides in length. Their secondary structure includes four short double-helical elements and three loops (D, anti-codon, and T loops). The record is from RNAcentral. Lineage: Bacteria; Pseudomonadati; Pseudomonadota; Alphaproteobacteria.
GGGGGCAUAGCUCAGUUGGGAGAGCGAUUGCUUUGCAAGCAAUAGGUCGUCGGUUCGAUCCCGUCUGCCUCCACCA